GCCGCACUAGCUCAGCUGGUAGAGCACGUCAUUCGUAAUGAUGGGGUCGGGGGUUCGAAUCCCUCGUGCGGCACCA
RNAcentral lists this transfer RNA (76 nucleotides) under Paracoccaceae bacterium. Its description in RNAcentral is "Rhodobacteraceae bacterium (sediment metagenome) tRNA-Thr". It matches the Rfam family "tRNA". Rfam says of the family: Transfer RNA (tRNA) molecules are approximately 80 nucleotides in length. The record is from RNAcentral. Lineage: Bacteria; Pseudomonadati; Pseudomonadota; Alphaproteobacteria; Rhodobacterales; Paracoccaceae.